AUGGCCUGGCCCUUUUUUCCUCUUCUCUGUCCCCAGGUGAGGGUGUGCCGAGAAGGGGAUGUGCUAGUGGAUCCCGAGAUGCUGUGCUGGGCACCAGAGACAUGCCACUGAUAAACACAGAGCAAACCCCCUGGCCUCAUGGAGCUCCAUUCAAGGAGUUCCUGUCUGGGGGAGGGGAACAAAAUGGAGCCUCAUUCCUGGGAAGAGUCUUAAUGAGGAGACAAGGCAGUG
Molecule: long non-coding RNA, 231 nt
Organism: Otolemur garnettii (small-eared galago)
Lineage: Eukaryota; Metazoa; Chordata; Mammalia; Primates; Galagidae
Exons: 3
Source: RefSeq, a predicted model, not a curated record